AACUAUGUCCAUGCCACUCUGAAAAUGCCUUAUCUCAGAAGCUAAGCAGGAUCAGGCCUGGUUAGUAUUUGUAUGGGAGGCCACCUGGAGAAACUGGGUGCUGUAAGAU
Ribosomal RNA from Notechis scutatus (mainland tiger snake), 109 nucleotides. The record is from Ensembl. Lineage: Eukaryota; Metazoa; Chordata; Lepidosauria; Squamata; Elapidae.